AUAUAUGGGGGAUAACUUCAAUUCCUCUGCAUUUACUGAACACAUUCUAUGAACAAGUCUAUUUUGGAGAAUGACCCAUGUACAGCUGAAAAGAAUGUAUGUUCCGUAAACAUCUGCUAAAUUAAUUUGUACAGGAGUUUUGCUAAGUUCUGGCAUUUCAUUGUUGCUGGUGUUGUUUUUCAGAUUUGCAGGUGGAAAUUUAUUUGGAAAACCAACAAUUGUAAUAUAAACAGAAAAUCUCCUCUCCUUUGUAAUAAAGGAUCAGAAUAAUAUAAAGAAACUUCAACAAAAUAGGACAUCUCUAAUUUGCAAAUAUUCAUAAGAAUGUGGGAAGCAUAGUAGAGAAAAAUCAAGGGUAAGCAUUAUCAUUUACCCAAAGCUUAAUUCUUAACAACACUUAUACAUUUUUACACAUAACACAUGUAAUGUAGAACUUAAGAAGCAUCAAUAUUUAUAUUUUCAGAAAUAAUGAACAAUACAUUCAUCCUCAUAUUUCAGAGCUUGAAGUUAUAACUGUUGGAAUUUGUAGAUGGAAGUGGUAAAAUGUUUAGAAGGGAAAGUUGGCUGGUCCUGGCCAUAACCUUGCUGAAGAAUGGUUUUUGGCCAUUUGGUGGGACCAGGCAGCUGUGCUUCCCUCUGCCUGCAUGCCACCAGCCCGAGCAAGGAAGGCAAGAUUUGGAAGGCUGCUCUGAGAUCUGCGCUCCCUUCAGCCCGCUUGAGCCCAUUCAGUGGGACCAGGUAGCUGCACCCUCCCCUGCCUUCUCUGCCAACAGCACCAGCAAGGAAGGUAGCCACACGGGUGCCCCUGAAGCCCCCCCCACUCUCAGACCUCCUGAUUGGGCCAGUCCUUGGACCCACUCUGCAGAGGCAUAGGUGGUCAUAAAGGGUCUUUUUCUGAGCUCCCAACUUUGAACAUCUUUAAAGAAAGAGCAGGGGAAACCUGUUAUAGAACUGUGUGAAGUUCAACCCUGCAGGUCUGGAAACUCAAUCUGGGCCUUGCAGCCUGAGGUCAGUCUGCCAUUGACUAGCUGAGAUCAGGGGACUUCGUUCUGCACAUGGCUAUGCAUGUGGUACAUUAUGACAGCAGAGAUAUAGUCUGAAAGAGGCCCUUCAAAUUCAUUUUUUCUUUCUUUUUCUCAUUCCACUCUGCAAAUUCUAUUUUCUGUCCUUUCUCCAACUCAAUCUCUUGCUCCACCAUAUUAUCCUUUAUCUCCCUUUCUGUUCCUGCUCCUGUCCUAACUCAGACUUCUUAUUCUAUCAUUUUUUCUUUUUUCUUUAUGAUCUUUUUUUCUGUCAUUUUACCUCACUCAUGGGCCAAUAGUUUCAAGGGAAAGUGAGACCCUAUUACUGUUAAGGGAAUAUAUUCUUGUCCUUAUUCUUGCACUCUGUCUAUCCCUUUUCAAUUUAAUAGUUUCAUAAAGAUUGUGUGGUCAUUCUAUGUCCUCUAGCUUCACUUGAAACCUUCUCCAAUUCUUUCACUUGUCUACUUCUCUCAUCCUAACUGUCUAAGCCCCCAUCCUAAAUGAUAAAGAUGCUAUAUUGAAAGGCAUAUUCACUGCAAACAUAUUUUGGGCCGCU
Molecule: long non-coding RNA, 1578 nt
Organism: Fukomys damarensis (Damara mole-rat)
Lineage: Eukaryota; Metazoa; Chordata; Mammalia; Rodentia; Bathyergidae
Source: Ensembl